CCUACGGGAGGCAGCAGUCGAGAAUCAUUCACAAUGGGGGAAACCCUGAUGGUGCGACGCAGCGUGGGGGAAUGAAGGUCUUCGGAUUGUAAACCCCUGUCAUGUGGGAGCAAAUUAAAAAGAUAGUACCACAAGAGGAAGAGACGGCUAACACUGUGCCAGCAGCCGCGGUAAUACAGCGGUCUCAAGCGUUGUUCGGAAUGACUGGGCUUAAAGCGUGCGUAGGAUGUUUCGUAAGUCGUGUGUGAAAGGCGCGGGCUCAACCCGCGGACGGCACAUGAUACUGCGAGACUCGAGUAAGGGAGGGGGAACCGGAAUUCUCGGUGUAGCAGUGAAAUGCGUAGAUAUCGAGAGGAACACUCGUGGCGAAGGCGGGUUCCUGGACAUUAACUGACGCUGAGGCACGAAGGCCAGGGGAGCGAAAGGGAUUAGAUACCCGUGUAGUC
Molecule: ribosomal RNA, 446 nt
Filed under: uncultured bacterium
Lineage: Bacteria
Description: partial 16S ribosomal RNA
Rfam family: Bacterial small subunit ribosomal RNA
Source: RNAcentral